This 493-nucleotide ribosomal RNA is filed under the name uncultured bacterium. RNAcentral describes it as "partial 16S ribosomal RNA". It matches the Rfam family "Bacterial small subunit ribosomal RNA", at positions 29 to 523 of the family's 1533-position model. The record is from RNAcentral.
AUUGAACGCUGGCGGCAUGCUUUACAUAUGCAAGUCGAACGGUAACAGGUUAAGCUGACGAGUGGCGAACGGGUGAGUAAUGCAUCGGAACGUGCCCGAUCGUGGGGGAUAACGCAGCGAAAGCUGCGCUAAUACCGCAUACGAUCUGAGGAUGAAAGCGGGGGACCGUAAGGCCUCGCGCGAUCGGAGCGGCCGAUGUCAGAUUAGGUAGUUGGUGGGGUAAAGGCCCACCAAGCCGACGAUCUGUAGCUGGUCUGAGAGGACGACCAGCCACACUGGGACUGAGACACGGCCCAGACUCCUACGGGAGGCAGCAGUGGGGAAUUUUGGACAAUGGGCGAAAGCCUGAUCCAGCAAUGCCGCGUGCAGGAAGAAGGCCUUCGGGUUGUAAACUGCUUUUGUACGGAGCGAAAAGGUCCUUCCUAAUACAAGGGGCUCAUGACGGUACCGUAAGAAUAAGCACCGGCUAACUACGUGCCAGCAGCCGCGGUAA